Molecule: ribosomal RNA, 492 nt
Filed under: uncultured bacterium
Lineage: Bacteria
Description: partial 16S ribosomal RNA
Rfam family: Bacterial small subunit ribosomal RNA
Source: RNAcentral
AGUGAACGCUGGCGGUAGGCCUAACACAUGCAAGUCGAACGGCAGCACAGUAAUAGCUUGCUCUUACGGGUGGCGAGUGGCGGACGGGUGAGGAAUACAUCGGAAUCUACUUUUUCGUGGGGGAUAACGUAGGGAAACUUACGCUAAUACCGCAUACGACCUACGGGUGAAAGCAGGGGAUCUUCGGACCUUGCGCGAUUGAAUGAGCCGAUGUCGGAUUAGCUAGUUGGCGGGGUAAAGGCCCACGAAGGCGACGAUCCGUAGCUGGUCUGAGAGGAUGAUCAGCCACACUGGAACUAAGACACGGUCCAGACUCCUACGGGGGGCAGCAGUGGGGAAUAUUGGACAAUGGGCGCAAGCCUGAUCCAGCCAUACCGCGUGGGUGAAGAAGGCCUUCGGGUUGUAAAGCCCUUUUGUUGGGAAAGAAAAGCAGCAGGUUAAUACCCCGCUGUUCUGACGGUACCCAAAGAAUAAGCACCGGCUAACUUCGUG